UUUUGUUGCACAUCUAAGAAUGGCACCCAAGUUUUCACUUAUUAACAGAUUUGUUUUUUUCCCCCCUAACCAUCACGCCAUCAUGAUGGAGCAGUUCAACAGCAUGUUGAUUGCUUAUAUUUGAAAAUCAGUUCGACGCAAUUUAAUUCUAACCAGAAAGCAAAUAGUUGUCACUUCACUCAUCAGAAUUACAUUUAAAAAAGUUGGACCUCACCAAAAUCCUAGUUCUGCUGUAAAGCGAAAUAUACAUGUGUGGGCUUUGCACAGAGGUGCAUAGAAAGGAAAACUCUAAGUAGCCUUGCGGAUACUCUGGAGAAGCAGAGAGUUUUCCAGUGCUAAAGCUUUAUGUUAUGGGGCUCAGGCUCUGAAACAGACUGACUGGAUCAUUAUAUAGCAGACAUAAAAAGAAACUGGAAACUCCCAGAGAAAAAUCCAUUGAUAUCUGUGUCCUUGGUGUAUGUCAAAUACAAUUCACAAUUCAAAUAUAAUAAUGGCUUCAGAAAUCAUUGUGAUCGUCAUUAGCUUGAGGAAGCAAAGCCUUCAAUAACACAGGCAAGUCAGCUAUGCAUUAUGCAUUUAUGUUUGUUAAUGAGAAACAAAAUCUCUGGCCAGUCUUUCUUCUUGAAUGUACAGGUGCAUUUUCUUACCUCUGUGCAACACGCCAGGUGUUCCAAAUAGGCCACUGUAUGCAAUAAAGGAAUUGGAAAAAAAGAUGCCUGCAAGUAAAGUUUUAAUGAAAUGGACUAUCUGCAAGGUAUGGCUUUGAAAGUGAUUUCAGGAUUCCGCUGUAGCAAGCCUCCUUCUGUCAAACCAGUCAAAAACAUCAUUGGCAGAUAAUGCUGAAAGAGGGAAUAGCUGCAUCUUGGCUCUCACAGAAAAUGCAGAGAAUUUAAUAAUAAUUGAGAAUGAAGUGGACAUAAAUUAAACAAAGAAAUGAUUUAAUGGAGAAAAUGAAACAGAAGCAAGUGUUUUAUUGUCGUUGAGUCUUCAUCCGAAUGCUUUAGUUGGCUAGAGUUUGCUUUCAUAGGCAUAAAGGAAAUCUUAACUUCUAUCUAAUUAAGCUGUAUUUUCUAUGCUUAGCAACAGUUUUCUCAGUAGUGAUCUGCAUACCGUACAUGCUCAGAAAACACUCGGUUUAACUGUAUCCUGUGCAGUCAGCCUUUAUUUAUUUAUUGCAGUGAUAACCUGCACACCUCUGUUUUGAGAGGGAUGGUGAGUUUUAAAUUUGGGUUUCAUCCUUAAGACACAAAAAUAAAUUAUAAAGACAUUAAAAGCCUCAGGGAGCACCAUGCUCGUAUAAAACAGGAGUAACAGGGAGAGAUUUUUAAUUGGCAAAUAAAUUACUAUACUGUACUUCCAUAACAAUAUAUGGAAACUAAGGCUGUCAGUGUAAAGCACAGUGUUGUUUAUUCUUCUCAAUAAUAAAAAAUAGGCAGGGUUUUUUUUUCUUGCAUAUAACACAUACUUGUAGUGUGUACAGUGCCAUUAACUUCUCACAAUAAAUGAAAGAAUUAAAAAGAAUUAGAGAUAUACUGUGAAUGAUGAAAGAGAUGGCAAGUAUCUGUUAAUAUGAUUAUAGCUAUUUUACUGUACAGUCUGUUAGAUUGUAAACUCUAAUGAGUAAGUUCCACUUGACCUCUUGUAUCAAUCAGCAAUAGUAUUUUAAUUGUACAGUUCUGCAGAAUAUGUUUGUGUUUUAUAAAUACAUAGUUUUAAUAACAAUGUUGUAUUCAUUACACCAUAGAAAAAAUAUUAUGUAGUUUAAAAUACUUAUAGCAUGACCCUAUAAUAAAAACAUAUAUCGCAGAGAUGCAGUGUAUAAUGCUGGAUUACCAUCUACAAACACAGAUUUCUCCUCUGUGUGAUAUAACGCUGAGAAAUGCAGAAAAAUUACUUUAUCUUUAAAGAUAUUGGGAGCAAAGAGACACUUCUGGUCAACUUUAAUUUACCUUCAUUCAAAUACUUUAGCAACAUUUCUAUAUAUACAUUGAUACACAGUAUAUCCUGAAGAUGCAUGUUCUGAAGGAGUCCUUAGAAUUCUCUGUAUUAGUGCACUUGUAUAUGGGUAGAAAUUCUUCUCUUUUCACUAUUGGAAAAGGACCUCUGUGUAGUGUUUACAUGACAUGGAGUAAGGGACUUAACAGUAUAAAGUCUGAAUGUAAAUAAGGCAAAUACAUAGCAAGCUGGGGUACACUGGUAAAAACAGAAUAUGUAGGUAGGGCUAAGCAUUUAUUUGCCUGUUAUAUUAAAGUCCCCAAACACAGUAAGGGGUACACAUUAAAAUUGCCCCACCACUACCACCAUUUGUAAAAUCUGAUCAUUUCAUAUACCUUUUCCUAAGAUAUAGAAAAUAUACACUUUUAUCUGCAGUGAAUGCACUUUUUAUUUUCUAAAACUUUUAUUUUUAGAAAUAAACUUUUAUUUCUUGAAAA
This is a long non-coding RNA of Xenopus laevis (African clawed frog), 2432 nucleotides long. RefSeq lists it as uncharacterized. The record is from RefSeq and is a predicted model, not a curated record. NCBI's taxonomy places the organism in Eukaryota, Metazoa, Chordata, Amphibia, Anura, Pipidae. The transcript is spliced from 5 exons.